This 254-nucleotide ribosomal RNA is filed under the name uncultured bacterium. Its description in RNAcentral is "partial 16S ribosomal RNA". It matches the Rfam family "Bacterial small subunit ribosomal RNA", at positions 524 to 776 of the family's 1533-position model. The record is from RNAcentral.
UACGAAGGGGGCUAGCGUUACUCGGAUUGACUGGGCGUAAAGGGCGCGUAGGCGGAUGGUACAGUCAGACGUGAAAUUCCUGGGCUCAACCUGGGGGGCUGCGUUUGAUACGUGCUGUCUGGAGUUCGGAAGAGGGUCGUGGAAUUCCCAGUGUAGAGGUGAAAUUCGUAGAUAUUGGGAAGAACACCGGUGGCGAAGGCGGCGACCUGGUCCGAUACUGACGCUGAGGCGCGAAAGCGUGGGGAGCAAACAGG